CAGCAGCCGCGGUAAUACCGGCGGCCCGAGUGGCGGUCACUAUUAUUGGGCUUAAAGCGUCCGUAGCCGGGUUGGGAAGUCCUCCGGGAAAUCUGGCCGCUUAACGGUCAGAAUGCCGGAGGAUACUCCCAGCCUAGGGAGCGGGAGAGGCCGAGGGUAUUCCCGGGGUAGGGGGGAAAUCCUAUAAUCCCGGGAGGACCACCUGUGGCGAAGGCGCUCGGCUGGAACGCGUCCGACGGUGAGGGACGAAGGCCAGGGGAGCAAACCGGAUUAGAUACCCGGGUAGUCCUGGCUGUAAACGAUGCGGACUUUGUGUCGGACAAGCUAUGAGCUUGUCCGGUGCCGGAGGGAAACCGUUAAGUCCGCCGCCUGGGGAGUACGGCCGCAAGGCUGAAACUUAAAGGAAUUGGCGGG
Molecule: ribosomal RNA, 414 nt
Filed under: uncultured microorganism
Description: bacterial SSU rRNA
Rfam family: Archaeal small subunit ribosomal RNA
Source: RNAcentral